AGUGAACGCUGGCGGUAGGCCUAACACAUGCAAGUCGAACGGCAGCACAGUAAGAGCUUGCUCUUACGGGUGGCGAGUGGCGGACGGGUGAGGAAUACAUCGGAAUCUACUUUUUCGUGGGGGAUAACGUAGGGAAACUUACGCUAAUACCGCAUACGACCUACGGGUGAAAGCAGUGGAUCUUCGGACCUUGCGCGAUUGAAUGAGCCGAUGUCGGAUUAGCUAGUUGGCGGGGUAAAGGCCCACCAAGGCGACGGUCCGUAGCUGGUCUGAGAGGAUGAUACGCCACACUGGAACUGGGACACGGACCAGACUCCUACGGGAGGCAGCAGUGGGGAAUGGUGGACAAUGGGCGCAAGCCUGAUCCAGCCAUACCGCGUGGGUGAAGAAGGCCUUCGGGUUGUAAAGCCCUUUUGUUGGGAAAGAAAAGCAGCAGCUUAAUACCCCGCUGUUCUGACGGUACCCAAAGAAUAAGCACCGGCUAACUUCGUG
RNAcentral lists this ribosomal RNA (492 nucleotides) under uncultured bacterium. RNAcentral's name for it is "partial 16S ribosomal RNA". It matches the Rfam family "Bacterial small subunit ribosomal RNA", at positions 29 to 507 of the family's 1533-position model. The record is from RNAcentral.